Molecule: transfer RNA, 77 nt
Filed under: Actinomycetes bacterium
Lineage: Bacteria; Bacillati; Actinomycetota; Actinomycetes
Also listed under: 5 other names
Description: tRNA-Met
Rfam family: tRNA
About the family: Transfer RNA (tRNA) molecules are approximately 80 nucleotides in length.
Source: RNAcentral
CGCGGGGUGGAGCAGUCUGGUAGCUCGUCGGGCUCAUAACCCGAAGGUCACAGGUUCAAAUCCUGUCCCCGCCACCA